GAUGAACGCUAGCGGCAGGCUUAACACAUGCAAGUCGAGGGGUAGAAGGAGCUUGCUCCUUUGAGACCGGCGCACGGGUGCGUAACGCGUAUGCAAUCUACCUUUUGCAGAGGGAUAGCCCAGAGAAAUUUGGAUUAAUACCUCAUAGUAUGUGAGGAUGGCAUCAUUUUCACAUUAAAGUCACAACGGCAAAAGAUGAGCAUGCGUCCCAUUAGCUAGUUGGUAAGGUAACGGCUUACCAAGGCUACGAUGGGUAGGGGUCCUGAGAGGGAGAUCCCCCCACACUGGUACUGAGACACGGACCAGACUCCUACGGGAGGCAGCAGUGAGGAAUAUUGGACAAUGGGCGCAAGCCUGAUCCAGCCAUGCCGCGUGCAGGAUGACGGUCCUAUGGAUUGUAAACUGCUUUUGACAGGAAGAAACACUACUUCGUGAAGUAGCUUGACGGUACUGUAAGAAUAA
RNAcentral lists this ribosomal RNA (462 nucleotides) under uncultured bacterium. RNAcentral describes it as "bacterial SSU rRNA". It matches the Rfam family "Bacterial small subunit ribosomal RNA", at positions 28 to 489 of the family's 1533-position model. The record is from RNAcentral.